Long non-coding RNA from Prionailurus viverrinus (fishing cat), 723 nucleotides. RefSeq lists it as uncharacterized. The transcript is spliced from 3 exons. The record is from RefSeq and is a predicted model, not a curated record. Lineage: Eukaryota; Metazoa; Chordata; Mammalia; Carnivora; Felidae.
GGCAGGGGCCCUGUGUGAUACUUAUAAGAGAAUAUCUCUCCCACCACCCUCAUUCUCCCUGCUUUAGAGAUCAUAUUGUGGGGACAGGAGACCUGGAGCUGAAGCACGUAUUUUGUGACCACUAGGCAAGAAGCCUGAAGGAAAAUUCCAAAAUAAUAGGAGGAAUCGGAAAGAGAAAACCACCAUUUGGGUCAUUGAGAUCAUACUUGGGCUGGCAAUCAAGCCUUAUUUUUAUUGGUAAUGAAUAUUCUCUGGCUUAAUGCAUGGUUACUGUGGUUUUCUAGUUCCUAGAACAGUGUCUGGAAGGAAAUCCAAAGUGUUUGUUGAUUCAAUAGCUUAAAUUUUGGUCAUUUUCAUGUCCCAAACAUCCAAUACGGUUCUUCAUAUGCAUUAGCUGAUGGAGAAGCUGAAACCUACAGGCUGUACAGAGGUAUCUCAGGUCAUACCUUUGGUUCAAAUAAAACCCAGAACAGAAGAACUGGAAAGACUGCAGGUGCAGUGACCGGAAGUUCUCUACAGUUGCUAAGAAGACUCUAAGGAUAUUGAAAGUUAAGUAGGGCCACACCUCAGGAGCCACAUGAAAGAUUGGCUGAACUCCAAAAUGAAGAAGAAAAAUACAUAACGAAUCAUUUUCAGUCUCUACUGGCAUCUUCACCACAAAUCUAGUAGACUAAUUUAACACUCUAUGGAUUACGUUCUAUUAAAAACAUGUAUGUAUAUGGA